RNAcentral lists this ribosomal RNA (316 nucleotides) under Dendropsophus leucophyllatus (Bereis' treefrog). RNAcentral's name for it is "partial 12S small subunit ribosomal RNA". Lineage: Eukaryota; Metazoa; Chordata; Amphibia; Anura; Hylidae. The record is from RNAcentral.
AGUGCCAAGUUAAAGGAAGCAUGUUGAUCUUCUUUUACUUCUAAAUCCGCCUUCCGACCAGGUUUCAUAGUAGUCUUUCGUGUUGUCUAAAAUAGACAGUGUAGCCCAUCUCUUCCCGCUUCAUAUGCUGCACCUUGACCUGACGUGUGGGCGUGGGGGCGUUAGGCUCACUAGUUUACGCUCACGGGGUAAGCUGACGACGGAGGUAUACAGGCUGAGAGACUAGAAGGGGUGAGGUAAAACGGGGGUUAUCGAUUAUAGGACAGGCUCCUCUAGGUGGAUUUGGGGUACCGUCAAGUCCCUUGGGUUUUAAGCU